GACGAACGCUGGCGGCGUGCUUAACACAUGCAAGUCGAACGGAAAGGCCCUGCUUUUGUGGUGUGCUCGAUUGGCGAACGGGUGAGUAACACGUGAUUAACCUGCCCUUGACUUUGGGAUAACUUCAGGAAACUGGGGCUAAUACCGGAUAGGAGCUCCUGCUGCAUGGUGGGGGUUGGAAAGUUUCGGCGGUUGGGGAUGGACUCGCGGCUUAUCAGCUUGUUGGUGGGGUAGUGGCUUACCAAGGCUUUGACGGGUAGCCGGCCUGAGAGGGUGACCGGCCACAUUGGGACUGAGAUACGGCCCAGACUCCUACGGGAGGCAGCAGUGGGGAAUAUUGCACAAUGGGCGGAAGCCUGAUGCAGCAACGCCGCGUGCGGGAUGACGGCCUUCGGGUUGUAAACCGCUUUCGCCUGUGACGAAGCGUGAGUGACGGUAAUGGGUAAAGAAGCACCGGCUAACUACGUG
RNAcentral lists this ribosomal RNA (468 nucleotides) under uncultured bacterium. RNAcentral's name for it is "partial 16S ribosomal RNA". It matches the Rfam family "Bacterial small subunit ribosomal RNA", at positions 28 to 507 of the family's 1533-position model. The record is from RNAcentral.